AUACAUGCAAGUCGAGCGAAUGGAUUAAGAGCUUGCUCUUAUGAAGUUAGCGGCGGACGGGUGAGUAACACGUGGGUAACCUGCCCAUAAGACUGGGAUAACUCCGGGAAACCGGGGCUAAUACCGGAUAACAUUUUGAACCGCAUGGUUCGAAAUUGAAAGGCGGCUUCGGCUGUCACUUAUGGAUGGACCCGCGUCGCAUUAGCUAGUUGGUGAGGUAACGGCUCACCAAGGCAACGAUGCGUAGCCGACCUGAGAGGGUGAUCGGCCACACUGGGACUGAGACACGGCCCAGACUCCUACGGGAGGCAGCAGUAGGGAAUCUUCCGCAAUGGACGAAAGUCUGACGGAGCAACGCCGCGUGAGUGAUGAAGGCUUUCGGGUCGUAAAACUCUGUUGUUAGGGAAGAACAAGUGCUAGUUGAAUAAGCUGGCACCUUGACGGUACCUAACCAGAAAGCCACGGCUAACUACGUGCCAGCAGCCGCGGUAAUACGUAGGUGGCAAGCGUUAUCCGGAAUUAUUGGGCGUAAAGCGCGCGCAGGUGGUUUCUUAAGUCUGAUGUGAAAGCCCACGGCUCAACCGUGGAGGGUCAUUGGAAACUGGGAGACUUGAGUGCAGAAGAGGAAAGUGGAAUUCCAUGUGUAGCGGUGAAAUGCGUAGAGAUAUGGAGGAACACCAGUGGCGAAGGCGACUUUCUGGUCUGUAACUGACACUGAGGCGCGAAA
This 727-nucleotide ribosomal RNA is filed under the name Bacillus cereus. RNAcentral describes it as "bacterial SSU rRNA". It matches the Rfam family "Bacterial small subunit ribosomal RNA", at positions 51 to 758 of the family's 1533-position model. Lineage: Bacteria; Bacillati; Bacillota; Bacilli; Caryophanales; Bacillaceae. The record is from RNAcentral.